AUUGAACGCUGGCGGCAUGCUUUACACAUGCAAGUCGAACGGCAGCGCGGGCUUCGGCCUGGCGGCGAGUGGCGAACGGGUGAGUAAUGCCUCGGAACGUGCCCAGUAGUGGGGGAUAGCCCGGCGAAAGCCGGAUUAAUACCGCAUACGACCUGAGGGUGAAAGCGGGGGACCGUAAGGCCUCGCGCUAUUGGAGCGGCCGAUGUCGGAUUAGCUAGUUGGUGGGGUAAAGGCUUACCAAGGCGACGAUCCGUAGCUGGUCUGAGAGGACGACCAGCCACACUGGGACUGAGACACGGCCCAGACUCCUACGGGAGGCAGCAGUGGGGAAUUUUGGACAAUGGGGGCAACCCUGAUCCAGCCAUGCCGCGUGCGGGAAGAAGGCCUUCGGGUUGUAAACCGCUUUUGGUCGGGAAGAAAUCCUCUGAGCUAAUACCCCGGGGGGAUGACGGUACCGGAAGAAUAAGCACCGGCUAACUACGUG
This 484-nucleotide ribosomal RNA is filed under the name uncultured bacterium. RNAcentral describes it as "partial 16S ribosomal RNA". It matches the Rfam family "Bacterial small subunit ribosomal RNA", at positions 28 to 507 of the family's 1533-position model. The record is from RNAcentral.